Molecule: ribosomal RNA, 393 nt
Filed under: uncultured Paenibacillus sp.
Lineage: Bacteria; Bacillati; Bacillota; Bacilli; Caryophanales; Paenibacillaceae
Description: bacterial SSU rRNA
Rfam family: Bacterial small subunit ribosomal RNA
Source: RNAcentral
CCCUUGAAGCAGCUAGAGAUAGCUGUGUCCUUCGGGACAAGGAGACAGGUGGUGCAUGGUUGUCGUCAGCUCGUGUCGUGAGAUGUUGGGUUAAGUCCCGCAACGAGCGCAACCCCUGUGGUUAGUUGCCAGCAAGUAGCGUUGGGCACUCUAGCCAGACUGCCGGUGAUAAAUCGGAGGAAGGUGGGGGCGACGUCAAAUCAUCAUGCCCUCUAUGUCCUGGGCUACACACGUACUACAAUGGCCGUUACAACGGGAAGCGAAGGAGCAAUCCGGAGCAAAUCCCUUAAAGGCGGUCCCAGUUCAGAUUGUGGGCUGAAACUCGCCCACAUGAAGGCGGAAUUGCUAGUAAUUGCAGAUCAGCAUGCUGCAGUGAAUACGUUCCCGGGUCUU